UUCUCUCUCAAAAGAAAGUAAGAUACCCAGUAACUCCCCCCUCCCGGCCCCGGCCCCGUCGGGUGCAGGCUGCGUUCCCACCCGGGGGCAUCCGCCGGGGAGUUCAGGUCCAUUUCACCGCGGAACAAAGAGGGAAAAUACACCGGCAAAGGGCGGUCCCCGCCCCCGGCCCGCGCAGGUGAGGGGCUGGGCAGCGGCCGUGGGCUCCCGCACAAACUGCCCCGAACUUCGCGGGAAAACUUUUCUCCCGCCGGCUCCGGGCAGGCGGCGACAACUGCCCCUUUUAGGGCUUUGAAAAAGACAGAGGCAUGUACCCCACCCCCAGCCCCGAGCCAGGGCUGCGAGCAGCCGGAGCCCAACUUGGCCGCGUAAUUAAAGCGCGUGGCAGCCAGAGCCGCCGCUCUCCGCCAGCAGCUGUUAAUGGCCUCGGAGUUGAGCGGAGCGCGGGGAGAGAGGCAGGGCUGGGAGGAGGCGGGAGCGGAUGUCCCCCGGCCGGGCCGGGGCUCGGGGAGAUCGGGGACGGGAGAGGAAUGGACCUGAAAGACAGGAGCGCGGGGGUGCACGCGGGCGGGAGCGAGGGAGGCAGCGCCGGCUUCCCAGCCCCGCGCCCUUCUCGCCCCUGCGGGCUCGAGGAGGGGGGCGAGAUCCGCACCAAAUGCACGGGCGCGGCGGAGCCCGCGGGGCACAGCCGGGCUGCAAGCGGGGUCCCCGCCCGCCGCCGCCUCGAGCUCCGCGAUCACAGCGACACCGAUCAAUGAGCCUCUCGCUUUUUUUUCUUUUUUUUUUUUUAAUGUGCGUAUGUCCGUGCUGAGCCGGAGCCGCCGGAUUGCGACCUGCCUCCCAGGCGCGCUGCCUGCCCCUCUAGGAAGCCCCGGGAAGUUCCCAGCUGAGCUGGCUGCCCUGAAGGAUGGCGGAGCUGGGACAGUCGCAGUACAAGUAUAAUAUUGCAGUGUCAGGAGGACCUUGGCUGACAGCCCAGCAGUGUGGGACAUGUUUGUAGAAGAUGAAGCAGAAGAGAUGACAUGAAAGUUAUUUUUGUCUAUCAGCUGAAGCAUUAUAGAGACAUCAACAAGCUCUUGUCUCAUGCCAGCUUAAUUCCUAGUUAAUCAGCAGUCUGCUUGGGCAAAGGAAGAAAUUCACGUCCGGGCUGCUGAUGAGCCAAACUUCCCGGUGAGGAUUUGGGAGCCUGAGGGAGUCCUGAUCGCUGGUUUAAUGCUAGUUUGGAUGUGCUGCUGCUCGCAGUGUGCAGCGUCCCUGGAAGAGUUACAUGCCUUUCUGCGACAAGGAUUCCAUCGCUGCCACAAUUGCAUUCAGCCUUAAGGUCACAAGCAGCUUUUGAGUCCUCUCUGAGAUCUUCCCCAACUGAGCAGGUCCCUCAGGUUGAAUGACUGGGGAGCAGAUCCCAGGACCACUCUGGGGAAUACUGAAGAGCCAGACCAUCUGUGGGGCGACAACUAGGAUCCUUCAUUUUGGAGGAAGGAAAGAAGGUGUCUGGCCCUGGUUUCCUUCUCCCUCUUCAUGUACUGAAGAUGAUUGGUUCCACGUUGCAAUGGAUGCUGUGGUGGGAUAGGACUUUGCUACAUCUCCUUCUCCAUUUUUAAAAAUAUUUUUCCUUCUAUCACCUUGUCUUUUUUUGCCUUGAGGAUGUUAUCAAUAAAGAUUACAAUGUGUAAUGCUU
This is a long non-coding RNA of Alligator mississippiensis (American alligator), 1678 nucleotides long. RefSeq lists it as uncharacterized. The transcript is spliced from 4 exons. The record is from RefSeq and is a predicted model, not a curated record. NCBI's taxonomy places the organism in Eukaryota, Metazoa, Chordata, Crocodylia, Alligatoridae.